Molecule: ribosomal RNA, 174 nt
Filed under: uncultured bacterium
Lineage: Bacteria
Description: partial 16S ribosomal RNA
Rfam family: Bacterial small subunit ribosomal RNA
Source: RNAcentral
UUUCCUACGGGAGGCAGCAGUGGGGAAUCUCAGACAAUGGGCGCAAGCCUGAUCUAGCCAUGCCGCGUGGACGAUGAAGGCCUUAGGGUUGUAAAGUCCUUUCAGCUGGGAAGAUAAUGACGGUACCAGCAGAAGAAGCCCCGGCUAACUCCGUGCCAGCAGCCGCGGUAAUAA